This 301-nucleotide ribosomal RNA is filed under the name uncultured bacterium. RNAcentral's name for it is "partial 16S ribosomal RNA". It matches the Rfam family "Bacterial small subunit ribosomal RNA", at positions 509 to 807 of the family's 1533-position model. The record is from RNAcentral.
CAGUCGCCACGGUAAUACAGAGGGUGCGAGCGUUAAUCGGAUUUACUGGGCGUAAAGCGUGCGUAGGCGGCUUUUUAAGUCGGAUGUGAAAUCCCUGAGCUUAACUUAGGAAUUGCAUUCGAUACUGGGAAGCUAGAGUAUGGGAGAGGAUGGUAGAAUUCCAGGUGUAGCGGUGAGAUGCGUAGAGAUCUGGAGGAAUACCGAUGGCGAAGGCAGCCAUCUGGCCUAAUACUGACGCUGAGGUACGAAAGCAUGGGGAGCAAACAGGAUUAGAUACCCCGGUAGUCCCUGUCUCUUAUAC